RNAcentral lists this long non-coding RNA (2301 nucleotides) under Capsicum annuum. Its description in RNAcentral is "long non-coding RNA (CANN_LNC017401)". Lineage: Eukaryota; Viridiplantae; Streptophyta; Magnoliopsida; Solanales; Solanaceae. The record is from RNAcentral.
GCCAGGUGAGCCACACAACGAAUUCAGGUUGAAGUUCAAUGGUCCUCCUGCAGCUCCACAACAAGGUUUGAAAUCUUCCUCAAAUUGGUACUUUUUAUGGUUCAUCUUAAUUGUUAGAUAUGCAUUCCAGAAGUCAGCAUAUAAAAUCUGACAAUUAGGAUACAAUUUACGGAAUCUUUCCAAUCUCCUUUGCAGGAUCUGGUUGUGGAUCAUUACUGCUGUGUUGACAGCUGCUGCACAUCCCAUAUGAUCAAGAGCAGCUUUCACUGGACAUAAUGAGAUAUGUAGUGGAAGGCAUCCUAUUGGUGGUAAGCCUUGAACUACGAUAUACUUUGCUCCGCUUCCCAGCGCUGCCUAUACAUAUACCACCGAUUACUUAGCAUUGCUGUUAUGUCAAAUACCUGCGAUACUAAUAGUCCAUUUGGACAAAUUUCUAGGAUAUUACGAGUGCUUCUUCUUCAAAAAACAAGAAAGCUUAUUUUGGAACGUUAAGGUGUUUGGACUUUUUGGCCAAAAUCCUGAGAAAUUUAAGUGCUUUUGACUAGAAGUAGAAACAGUUUUUUCUUUUGUGAAGGAAAAGCCUGGAAAAGUAGCUUCUUAGUAAGAGUAGAAGCACAAGUUUUUAUUUUUUUUUUCGACAAAACUAUCUUUACCAAAAAAUGUGUCAACUUAUCCUCACAGUGUGAACAUUAACUUAGCUCAUGCAUUUUCAAUGAUACAUAUAUAUGUCCAAAGUCUCGUAAACUUGUUCCUCUCUUUUUUAUUUUAGUUUUUACAUUUUAAUUAAAUGAAGUUGAAAAUUUUAAUUAAGGUCUCUCAUAUAAAUAUUGCAAAACAGUUGAAAUUUUUUAAAAGAUAACACAUUGUUGCUAUAAAUACUAAGAGAAGUGCAUUUCAGAUGAUUCGACAAACACAAACUGCUACCAUCCACAACGACAACAUAUUCACUAUAUUCCCACAAAGUGGGGUCUGGGGAGGGUAAAGUGUACGCAGUUCGUACCACUACCUCAGAGGUGAGGUAGAGAAACAGCUGAUAGACCCCCGGCUUUUCCUUAAACUUCAUUUGACACAAAUACUUAUCAACAUAAGCAAAUCUGGAAGCUUGACAAAAGGGGUUUUACUACUAAUUGUCAUAAAUUGUAGUAUGUCAAAGCUUUUAUGGAGACAAUUAAAUUACUUUUCAUGUACAUACCUCGAUUAGUCUGCUAACUUGAAGGACGGACUGCUGUGUGAGCCAAUGUGUGGAUAGAGAGGACCCUUGUAUACGAGCAUAGUCACUAACACCAACAGAGCCUAUCCAAAAGAGUGCAUUCUCCAAUUCAGCCUUGCAAUUAUUACGUCCCAUCUGUUGCUUCAACGUAUUGAACCAAUCAAUCUGAGUUUGAAAGGUCAAGGGUAUUCCUUUCCAGAAUAGGUUAGUAAUUUUCUUAGUUGAAAAAUCCUCUUUGGGGAGAAUUGUUGAUCCGGCUAUUGCAAAAUUGGCCCCAUUUGUGAAAUUUGCGGAGCUACUCUGAAAGGGUGGCAAAUGUGGUAGCUUAAAAGCAUCACAUAGAAAAUCUACCACCAAAUGUCCAUCACAUAAACCAUUGUUUGAUUUUUCUGAAGUGCUCGAUGAGUGAGCGAAAUUUUCAUUCAAUCCACCCACUAAAUUAGCAUUUCCUGCAUCAGUAUAGGAGUCUCCAAAAGCAUACACCUUGUUGAAGCAUCCUAUAAAGUUAUUAUGCCUGGUUGAAGUGCCGUGGCUACUGUUAUUAGCACGGGAAGAGUUGCCUUUUACAAAAGUAAAGUAAGAGCAAGUCAGUAAAAGAAAAUCUUUGAGGCGUGAAAGCAACUUCCUUUAAGAUAUAUUGUCCGUAGACUAUUUGGGGAUAUACAGACAAGUCCGCUCGUGAUACAACAAAGCCUACAAGUAAACUUAGCCACUAUUCAGAGGAGUCAUGUAUUUAAAGGGUCAAGGCUAUUCAGAAUAGUCAUAUGUUCUUUCAAAAUUAUGACCUGGAUUUGAAUUUAAUUAAAGCUCAAACAUUAAAUGAAAUGAAAAAACCUGGAUUUGAAUUUAAUUAAAGCUCAAACAUUAAAUGAAGUGAAAAAACUAUUUUUUAGGAUGUGUUUGGCGUGAUGGAAGUCUUUUCUGAAAAAGAAAUGACGAAAAUAUUUUCGUGGGAAACGUUUUCUUUAAAAUAUUCUGUUAUACCAAACACCCUCUAUAUAUAAAGCCUUUCAAAUUCAUAUUUAUUUGCCUUUUGAUGCAGGUCAAUCUCACAUCAUAUAUAUUGCAUUCUAUCUAAUGUAAUCAGGGGA